GACGAACGCUGGCGGCGUGCUUAACACAUGCAAGUCGAACGGAGUUAAUUGAGAGCUUGCUCGAGGUUAGCUUAGUGGCGGACGGGUGAGUAACGCGUGAGGAACCUGCCUACAUCAGGGGGACAACAGUUAGAAAUGACUGCUAAUACCGCAUAAGACCACGAGAUGGCAUCAUCAAGGGGUAAAAGAGAUAUGUAUCGGAUGUAGAUGGCCUCGCGUCCUAUUAGUUAGUUGGUGGGGUAACGGCCUACCAAGACCGCGAUAGGUAGCCGACCUGAGAGGGUGAACGGCCACACUGGAACUGAGAAACGGACCAG
Molecule: ribosomal RNA, 317 nt
Filed under: uncultured bacterium
Lineage: Bacteria
Description: bacterial SSU rRNA
Rfam family: Bacterial small subunit ribosomal RNA
Source: RNAcentral